Molecule: ribosomal RNA, 899 nt
Filed under: Claviformispora phyllostachydis
Lineage: Eukaryota; Fungi; Ascomycota; Sordariomycetes; Chaetosphaeriales; Linocarpaceae
Description: partial large subunit ribosomal RNA
Rfam family: Eukaryotic large subunit ribosomal RNA
Source: RNAcentral
UAGCAUAUCAAUAAGCGGAGGAAAAGAAACCAACAGGGAUUGCCCCAGUAGCGGCGAGCGAAGCGGCAACAGCUCAAAUUUGAAAUCUGGCCCCCCCCAGCCGGGGGCCCGAGUUGUAAUUUGCAGAGGACGCUUCUGGCGCGGCGCCUUCCGAGUCCCCUGGAACGGGGCGCCACAGAGGGUGAGAGCCCCGUAUGGUCGGACGCCCAGCCAGUGCGAAGCUCCCUCGACGAGUCGGGCAGUUUGGGAAUGCUGCUCAAAACGGGAGGUAAAUUUCUUCUAAAGCUAAAUACCGGCUCGAGACCGAUAGCGCACAAGUAGAGUGAUCGAAAGAUGAAAAGCACUUUGGAAAGAGGGUUAAACAGCACGUGAAAUUGUUGAAAGGGAAGCGCCCGCGACCAGACGUGCGCCGGGCGGAUCCCGCCAGGGGCCCAUUCCGCCCGGCCCAGGCCAGCGUCGGCUCUCGCGGGGGGACGAGAGCCCCGGGAACGUAGCUCCCUAGGGAGUGUUAUAGCCCGGGGCACGACGCCCCCGCGGGGGCCGAGGUUCGCGCUCCGCAAGGACGCUGGCGUAAUGGUCGCCGGCGACCCGUCUUGAAACACGGACCAAGGAGUCAAGGUUCUGCGCGAGUGUCCGGGUGUCAAACCCGCACGCGGAAUGAAAGUGAACGCAGGUGGGAGCCCUCGCGGCGCACCAUCGACCGAUCCCGAUGUGCUCGGACGGAUUUGAGUAGGAGCGCAGUGCCUUGGACCCGAAAGAUGGUGAACUAUGCUCGGAUAGGGUGAAGCCAGAGGAAACUCUGGUGGAGGCUCGCAGCGGUUCUGACGUGCAAAUCGAUCGUCAAAUCUAAGCAUAGGGGCGAAAGACCAAUCGAACCGUCUAGUAGCUGGUUGCCGCGA